This 253-nucleotide ribosomal RNA is filed under the name uncultured bacterium. Its description in RNAcentral is "partial 16S ribosomal RNA". It matches the Rfam family "Bacterial small subunit ribosomal RNA", at positions 524 to 776 of the family's 1533-position model. The record is from RNAcentral.
UACGUAGGGGGCAAGCGUUGUCCGGAAUCAUUGGGCGUAAAGAGCGUGUAGGCGGCCAGGUAGGUCGGUUGUGAAAACUGGAGGCUCAACCUUCAGAGGUCGACCGAAACCAUCUGGCUAGAGUCCGGGAGAGGAGAGUGGAAUUCCUGGUGUAGCGGUGAAAUGCGCAGAUAUCGGGAGGAACACCGGUGGCGAAGGCGGUUCUCUGGGCCUGUACUGACGCUGAGGAGCGAAAGCGUGGGGAGCGAACAGG